AUAGCCUUCUUAGGAAUCUCUCUCUCCUCUCUCUCUGCCCCCCCUCCCCCGCUUAUGCACUCUCUGUCUGUCUCUCUCUCUCUCAAAAUAAAUAAACUUUAAAAAAUAGUUUCAUUCCACUGCUUUUACCCUACAAGGGCAAUGCUGUCAGCCAUAACAGAAGAGGUAGAGUGGUGACACAUCAUUAGACUUCAUGCUAAAAAUGAAGUAACUUAGGGGCGCCUAGGUGGCUCAGUCGAAGUGCCUUACUAUUGGUUUCAGCUCAAGUCAUGAUCUUAUGGUUCAUGAGUUUGAGCCCUGCAUUGGGCUCUGUGCUGACAGCAAGGAGCCUGCUUGGGAUUCUCUCUCUCCCUCUCUCUCUCUCUCUGCCCCUCCCCCACUCACUCUCUCAAAUAAACUUAAAACAAUUUUUUUUUCUAAUGAGGUAACUUAGAUUUAAUAUGGACUACUAGAAUCUGAAAGGUCAGGAAAAAGGGGCUGCUUGGACUGCUUCAGUGGAGUUGCCACGAGAUGUGGGUGGGAAAAGACUAUAUGAAGAAGGUCUUUUAUGAGUGUUUUCAAAUGUCUUCUCAACCUGAGUGAUUUUGUCCCCUGGGAGUCAUUUGACCAUAUCAAGAGACUUGUUUCACAGCUGGCAGGAAGGUGGGGGGUCAGUGUUGGGGGAGGUGAGUUAGUGGUUGGGAGGGGAGAGGAAGGAGAUACUGGAAUCUAGUGGGUGGAGGUCAGGGAUACUGCUGAUCUACAAUGCACAGGACAGCCCCUCACGACAAAAUUAUUCAGCCCAAAAUGUAAAUAGUGCUGAAGUUGAGAGAUUUGUUGAAAAGAAGAAAACUGGCAAGAAAUGGAAGUAGGAAACAUGUUUUCUUGGUUUAAAUUCUGGAACGUUUCUGAGCUUGCUUGCUUUUUUUUUUUUUUUUUUUAAUGUUUAUUUUAUUUUUGCGAGAGAGAGCAGGGGAGAGGGGCAGAGAGACAGGAACACAGAGGAUUCAAAGCUGACUCUGCGAAGAUAGCAGAGAGCCCAAUGUGGGGCUGGAACUCACUAACCUGAGAUCAUGACCUAAGCCAAAGUCAGAUGCUUAACUGAUUGAGCCACCCAGACACCCCAAGACUAGCUUUUUAAAUGUACUACCUGAUUCCUUAGGCUGUAUUCUCUCAACCAGGAAAUGAAACGCUGAAAUCGUCAUCCUUUGACUCAGGUCCCCACCAGUAUUGAAUUUAAUACCCUACAAAGUUUUUCUGUGGGAAGUUUGUUUUCUCAGCAGGGUAUAUUAACAGAAAGAAGGGGGGAGAAAGGAGAAAGAACCAGGAGGAGGAAGAACAAUCAACGGGGCUGCCCACUCAUAUUUCCUACGAGCAAGGCACUUCUUUUGGAUCUUGCAUGUUCAUUGGCUGGUCCCUGAUCAAAGGCAGGACAGAUAAGUAGCAGGCCGGUAGGGGUAAGGCGCUAUUUUUAUCUAGCAAGUACUCACAAAGCACUUAUUUGCUAAAGGACCAUAUAGAACAAGCCUGGUCAAGUGGGCAAACAACCCUAUAAGGAAAGCGUCUGAACCUUACAGACGGACUUGGGCCCCCACAGUCCGCGGGAGGAAGGGGUGCAGAGCGCCAGCUUCGGCAGGGAAAGGGAAGGCGAGCCUGGAGAACCGCACCCCGUGGCCCGCUAGGCCCAGCCAGCCGCUCCCUACGUCGUCCUCAGGACAACCAUCGAGUUAGGGACCUUCAUGCCAUCCUAGAGCGGCCCGGAAGCGCAUCCGGCAGACGCAAAGCGCGGCGGCUCCCGCGGUGGCCGGAUGUGCGCCGCGGUAGCUCUUCUCGGUUGCGGUCUUCUGCAGGGAGGAAUGCUCGCCUAGAAGACACCACCUGGCACUACAAGGAUUCCAUUGACUGGAAGUUGAGACUGAUAGCUGGCCACAAUGUCCCUGAGUCAACAAAGUGUCACUAGACUGGCUGAGGUGACUGAUCACCCCAAGGGGAAAGUGGGUUGGUACUAGACAAUGAGGAAUAAGGAGGAAUCCAGAAGUUUCUGGGCAUAUUUUAGUGCUAUACCACCUGUGGUUAACGUCGGUGGAUGACUAUGACAACCCAGCACGGGCCUCAGUCUCUUUGGGAAUGAAGGCUUGGGUCACUCCACGAGGCAGAGAACCACAAGCAGCUGAGGUGAUUGCUGGGUCAAUGGGAACAUGGAAUGGAUAGUGAAAGAAGGUUGUUACAAAUAACAGUUAAGACCAUGUGACUAGUUGCAAAAAAAAGCACAGUGGUAGUUAUGACUUUCUUGUUUUGCUAUGAAUGUUUAUGUGUAUCAACCAGAUUUUUUGUUGUCUCUCCUUAUCAUUUAACAUCUGUUGCUGGUAACAUGUCGAUAUAAAGUUAACUUUAUACCUCAGUAUUUGGGUUAUGGGGUUUCAAAAGGAGUGAAUCAGGUAGGAGAUGAAUGAACAUCAGCAAAGACAAAAAAAAAAAAAGUAGGGGAGGGGUAAGGAGAGGGAGAGGGACUUUGUAUUGUUUCUUGAGGACAGAGUGUGGUGAUGGUUCUAUGAGGAUUCCAGUAUCGUUUAGACGGAAGUGCAGUUUUGUAACUGUCUUUAUUAGGCGACUAAGUAUGGUUAAGGAAAUGGGUAUUGGUACCAUGUUGACAGGGGUGGAUUUUGAUGGCUUAUGUUGUGUCAGCUUGGCCAAGCUAAACUACACUCCCCAGAAUCCUCUUUCGAGUAUGUUGCAAUUAGGAUGGGCUGCAUAGAUGGUCCCUUGAGAGUUACCGGGCAGGCAGGAGGCCGCAGCCACUAGGUGGCACACAGGUGCUGUUGCUGAGCCGCUGGCUCACCAGCGUCUCAGGUACCUGGAUCUUCCUUCUGGUUGACUCCUGACCCAGCCCUGUGUGUUCAACUCCACACAGGCUCACUUUCCACAGGAUACCUUUGUCACAAAUGUCAAAUGAACAGACACAGGUAUUUGCUGGCUUGUGAUCUUCCCUUCCUGACUACCUGCUUGUGGGCUUUGGAGCCUCAUGAAGGCUGUUUAGCCAGCCCCCCAAAGGCAUAAGCCUGUUGAUAGGUACACAGAUGGUAGUUAGGUAGCUAGACAGAUAGCCUCUGUUCUCUGGUUGAACCCUGACUGGUACGGGGAAAAUAAGACUCUCUGAACCCAGAGUCUUUGGCCCACGUUCCUUAUAAGGUGUUCUUUUUCUUUUCUGGUCAUUAAAAUUUCUUUGAACAUUCAAA
Molecule: long non-coding RNA, 3215 nt
Organism: Felis catus (domestic cat)
Lineage: Eukaryota; Metazoa; Chordata; Mammalia; Carnivora; Felidae
Exons: 2
Source: RefSeq, a predicted model, not a curated record